RNAcentral lists this ribosomal RNA (495 nucleotides) under uncultured bacterium. RNAcentral's name for it is "partial 16S ribosomal RNA". It matches the Rfam family "Bacterial small subunit ribosomal RNA", at positions 28 to 507 of the family's 1533-position model. The record is from RNAcentral.
GAUGAACGCUGGCGGCGUGCCUAAUACAUGCAAGUAGAACGCUGAAGGAGGAGCUUGCUCUUCUGGAUGAGUUGCGAACGGGUGAGUAACGCGUAGGUAACCUGCCUGGUAGCGGGGGAUAACUAUUGGAAACGAUAGCUAAUACCGCAUGACAACAGUUAUUGCAUGAUAACUGUUUAAAAGGGGCAACUGCUCCACUACCAGAUGGACCUGCGUUGUAUUAGCUAGUUGGUGAGGUAACGGCUCACCAAGGCGACGAUACAUAGCCGACCUGAGAGGGGGAUCGGCCACACUGGGACGGAGACACGGCCCAGACUCCUACGGGAGGCAGCAGUAGGGAAGCUUCGGCGAUGGACGGAAGUCUGACCGAGCAACGCCGCGUGAGUGAAGAAGGUUUUCGGAUCGUAAAGCUCUGUUGUAAGAGAAGGACGAGUGUGAGAGUGGAAAGUUCACACUGUGACGGUAUCUUACCAGAAAGGGACGGCUAACUACGUG